This 574-nucleotide ribosomal RNA is filed under the name uncultured bacterium. RNAcentral describes it as "bacterial SSU rRNA". It matches the Rfam family "Bacterial small subunit ribosomal RNA", at positions 338 to 917 of the family's 1533-position model. The record is from RNAcentral.
CCUACGGGAGGCAGCAGUGGGGAAUAUUGCACGAAUGGGCGAAAGCCUGAUGCAGCGAUGCCGCGUGCGGGAAGAAGGCCUUAGGGUUGUAAACCGCUUUCAGUAGGGAAGAAAAUGACGGUACCUACAGAAGAAGGUGCGGCCAACUACGUGCCAGCAGCCGCGGCGACACGUAGGCACCAAGCGUUGUCCGGAUUUAUUGGGCGUAAAGAGCUCGUAGGCGGUUUGGUAAGUCGGGUGUGAAAACUCUGGGCUCAACCCAGAGAGGCCACUCGAUACUGCUAUGACUUGAGUACGGUAGGGGAGUGGGGAAUUUCUAGUGUAGCGGUGAAAUGCGCAGAUAUUAGAAGGAACACCAGUGGCGAAGGCGCCACUCUGGGCCGUAACUGACGCUGAGGAGCGAAAGCAUGGGUAGCAAACAGGAUUAGGAUACCCUGGUAGUCCAUGCCGUAAACGUUGGGCACUAGGUGUGGGUCUCAACCAACGAGAGUCCGCGCCGUCGCUAACGCAUUAAGUAGCCCCGCCUGGGGAGUACCGGUCGCGAAGACGUAAAACUCAAAAUGAAAUUGAACGG